GACAAACGCUGGCGGCGUGCAUAAAACAUGCAAGUCGGACGAGCCAAUCCCCGCAAGGGGAAAGGCUAGUGGCGAACGGCUGAGUAACACGUAGGUGAUCUGCCCUGAAGUGGGGGAUAACGACUCGAAAGAGUCGCUAAUACCGCAUGUGACCACCGAUCCGUUUUCGGUGCUCAAAGUCGUAAGACGCUUUAGGAGGAGCCUGCGGCGGAUUAGCUAGUUGGUGAGGUAAUGGCCUACCAAGGCGACGAUGCGUAGCUGGUCUGAGAGGACGAUCAGCCACACUGGGACUGAGACACGGCCCAGACUCCUACGGGAGGCAGCAGUGGGGAAUCUUGCACAAUGCACGAAAUUGUGAUGCAGCAACGCCGCGUGCGGGAAGACGGCCUCGG
Molecule: ribosomal RNA, 392 nt
Filed under: uncultured bacterium
Lineage: Bacteria
Description: bacterial SSU rRNA
Rfam family: Bacterial small subunit ribosomal RNA
Source: RNAcentral